This 1361-nucleotide ribosomal RNA is filed under the name uncultured bacterium. RNAcentral describes it as "bacterial SSU rRNA". It matches the Rfam family "Bacterial small subunit ribosomal RNA", at positions 28 to 1381 of the family's 1533-position model. The record is from RNAcentral.
AUUGAACGCUGGCGGCAGGCCUAACACAUGCAAGUCGAGCGGUAGCACAGAGAGCUUGCUCUCGGGUGACGAGCGGCGGACGGGUGAGUAAUGUCUGGGAAACUGCCUGAUGGAGGGGGAUAACUACUGGAAACGGUAGCUAAUACCGCAUAAUGUCGCAAGACCAAAGUGGGGGACCUUCGGGCCUCAUGCCAUCAGAUGUGCCCAGAUGGGAUUAGCUAGUAGGUGGGGUAACGGCUCACCUAGGCGACGAUCCCUAGCUGGUCUGAGAGGAUGACCAGCCACACUGGAACUGAGACACGGUCCAGACUCCUACGGGAGGCAGCAGUGGGGAAUAUUGCACAAUGGGCGCAAGCCUGAUGCAGCCAUGCCGCGUGUGUGAAGAAGGCCUUCGGGUUGUAAAGCACUUUCAGCGGGGAGGAAGGCGGUGAGGUUAAUAACCUCAUCGAUUGACGUUACCCGCAGAAGAAGCACCGGCUAACUCCGUGCCAGCAGCCGCGGUAAUACGGAGGGUGCAAGCGUUAAUCGGAAUUACUGGGCGUAAAGCGCAUGCAGGCGGUCUGUCAAGUCGGAUGUGAAAUCCCCGGGCUCAACCUGGGAACUGCAUUCGAAACUGGCAGGCUAGAGUCUUGUAGAGGGGGGUAGAAUUCCAGGUGUAGCGGUGAAAUGCGUAGAGAUCUGGAGGAAUACCGGUGGCGAAGGCGGCCCCCUGGACAAAGACUGACGCUCAGGUGCGAAAGCGUGGGGAGCAAACAGGAUUAGAUACCCUGGUAGUCCACGCCGUAAACGAUGUCGAUUUGGAGGUUGUGCCCUUGAGGCGUGGCUUCCGGAGCUAACGCGUUAAAUCGACCGCCUGGGGAGUACGGCCGCAAGGUUAAAACUCAAAUGAAUUGACGGGGGCCCGCACAAGCGGUGGAGCAUGUGGUUUAAUUCGAUGCAACGCGAAGAACCUUACCUGGUCUUGACAUCCACAGAACUUUCCAGAGAUGGAUUGGUGCCUUCGGGAACUGUGAGACAGGUGCUGCAUGGCUGUCGUCAGCUCGUGUUGUGAAAUGUUGGGUUAAGUCCCGCAACGAGCGCAACCCUUAUCCUUUGUUGCCAGCGGUUAGGCCGGGAACUCAAAGGAGACUGCCAGUGAUAAACUGGAGGAAGGUGGGGAUGACGUCAAGUCAUCAUGGCCCUUACGACCAGGGCUACACACGUGCUACAAUGGCAUAUACAAAGAGAAGCGACCUCGCGAGAGCAAGCGGACCUCAUAAAGUAUGUCGUAGUCCGGAUUGGAGUCUGCAACUCGACUCCAUGAAGUCGGAAUCGCUAGUAAUCGUAGAUCAGAAUGCUACGGUGAAUACGUUCCCGGGCCU